UCAAGUGACUAAGUGCAUGUGGCGGAUGCCUUGGCGAUCACAGGCGAAGAAAGACGCGGCAGCCUGCGAAAAGCUGCGGGGAGCUGGCAAACGAGCUUUGAUCCGCAGAUAUCUGAAUGGGGGAACCCACACCGCAAGGUGUAUCCGUGACUGAAUACAUAGGUUACGGAGGCGAACGAGGAGAACUGAAACAUCUAAGUAUCCUCAGGAAAAGAAAUCAACCGAGAUUCCGGCAGUAGCGGCGAGCGAACCCGGAGGAGCCUAGCUUUUGAUAGUACGAACUUUAGCCGAAAGGUCCUGGAAAGGCCUGCUAUAGUGGGUGAUAGCCCCGUAGGCGAAAGAGUUCGUAUGGUACUAAGGAAGCGAGAAGUAGAGCGGGACACGUGGAAUCCUGUUCGAAGAUGGGGGGACCAUCCUCCAAGGCUAAAUACUCGUGAUCGACCGAUAGUGAACCAGUACCGUGAGGGAAAGGCGAAAAGAACCCCGGGAGGGGAGUGAAAUAGAACCUGAAACCGCAUGCAUACAAACAGUAGGAGCCUCGUCAGAGGUGACUGCGUACCUUUUGCAUAAUGGGUCAGCGACUUACAUUCUGUGGCGAGCUUAACCGAAUAGGGGAGGCGCAGCGAAAGCGAGUUCGAAAUGAGCGUCCAGUCGCAGGGUGUAGACCCGAAACCAGAUGAGCUAUCCAUGGCCAGGUUGAAGGUGUGGUAACACACACUGGAGGACCGAACCGACUAGUGUUGCAAAAUUAGCGGAUGAGCUGUGGAUAGGGGUGAAAGGCCAAACAAAUCUGGAGAUAGCUGGUUCUCCCCGAAAACUAUUGAGGUAGUGCCUCGUGUGUCGCUCCAGGGGGUAGAGCACUGUUUUGGCUAGGGGGACAUGGAGUCUUACCAAACCAAGGCAAACUCCGAAUACCUGGAAGCGUGAGCACGGGAGACAGAGCACCGGGUGCUAACGUCCGGACUCAAAAGGGAAACAACCCAGACCGCCGGCUAAGGUCCCCAAUAACAGCUAAGUGGAAAACGAAGUGGAAAGGCCGUGACAACCAGGAAGUUGGCUUAGAAGCAGCCAUCCUUCAAAGAAAGCGUAAUAGCUCACUGGUCGAGUCCUUCUGCGCGGAAGAUGUAACGGGGCUAAGCUGUUAACCGAAGCCGCGGAUGCACUGGUAAUCCAGUGCGUGGUAGGGGAGCGUUCUGUAAGUCUGCGAAGGCGGUUCGAGAGGACUGCUGGAGAUAUCAGAAGUGCGAAUGCUGACAUGAGUAACGUUAAAGCAGGUGAAAAGCCUGCUCGCCGUAAGCCCAAGGAUUCCUGCUCUACGUUCAUCGGAGCAGGGUGAGUCGGCUCCUAAGGUCAGGCCGAAAGGCGUAGCCGAUGGGAAUCAGGUUAAUAUUCCUGAACCUGCGUCAGAUGCGAUGGGGGGACGGAGCAUGAAAGAUCAUCCGGGUGUUGGAUGUCCCGGUUGACGAGCGUAGGAGGUCUGCAGGCAAAUCCGCAGACGCAUCUCCAAGGCGAAGUCACGUGCCGCCACGGCGGCGAAGUGAUCGGAAGUGCUUCCAAGAAAAGCCUCUAAGCACCAGUCUGACGCGGACCGUACCGCAAACCGACACUGGUGGGCGAGCUGAAUAUGCUCAGGCGCUUGAGAGAACUCGGGAGAAGGAACUCGGCAAAUUGACACCGUAACUUCGGAAGAAGGUGUGCCGUAGUAGCGUGAGAGGAGAGACUCCUCGAGCGUGAAUCGGUCUCAGAGAAUAGGUGGCUGCGACUGUUUAUUAAAAACACAGCACUCUGCAAAGUCGAAAGACGACGUAUAGGGUGUGAUGCCUGCCCGGUGCUGGAAGAUUAAUUGAUGGGGUGAGAGCCCUUGAUCGAAGUCCCAGUAAACGGCGGCCGUAACUAUAACGGUCCUAAGGUAGCGAAAUUCCUUGUC
Molecule: ribosomal RNA, 1927 nt
Filed under: human gut metagenome
Description: bacterial LSU rRNA
Rfam family: Bacterial large subunit ribosomal RNA
Source: RNAcentral